This 85-nucleotide transfer RNA is filed under the name Streptomyces olivochromogenes. RNAcentral's name for it is "tRNA-Ala". RNAcentral also lists the same sequence under 1 other name. Lineage: Bacteria; Bacillati; Actinomycetota; Actinomycetes; Kitasatosporales; Streptomycetaceae. The record is from RNAcentral.
CGGCGUCGUGCGUGAGGACCUUGACCGCGCCGUGCUCGGCGAGCGCGGGGGCGGUGGCCUCGGCGCCGGAGCCGAGGGCGACGGC